Molecule: transfer RNA, 86 nt
Filed under: Alphaproteobacteria bacterium
Lineage: Bacteria; Pseudomonadati; Pseudomonadota; Alphaproteobacteria
Also listed under: 2 other names
Description: tRNA-Tyr
Rfam family: tRNA
About the family: Transfer RNA (tRNA) molecules are approximately 80 nucleotides in length. Their secondary structure includes four short double-helical elements and three loops (D, anti-codon, and T loops).
Source: RNAcentral
GGAGGGGUGGCAGAGCGGUCAAAUGCAACGGACUGUAACUCCGUCGUCUCACGACUACGUAGGUUCGAAUCCUACCCCCUCCACCA